CCUACGGGGGACUGCAGUGGGGAAUAUUGGGCAAUGGGCGCAAGCCUGACCCAGCAACGCCGCGUGAAGGAAGAAGGCUUUCGGGUUGUAAACUUCUUUUCUCAGGGACGAAGCAAGUGACGGUACCGGAGGAAUAAGCCACGGCUAACUACGUGCCAGCAGCCGCGGUAAUACGUAGGUGGCAAGCGUUAUCCGGAUUUACUGGGUGUAAAGGGCGUGUAGGCGGGAAAGCAAGUCAGAUGUGAAAACCAUGGGCUCAACCUGUGGCCUGCAUUUGAAACUGUUUUUCUUGAGUACUGGAGAGGCAGACGGAAUUCCUAGUGUAGCGGUGAAAUGCGUAGAUAUUAGGAGGAACACCAGUGGCGAAGGCGGUCUGCUGGACAGCAACUGACGCUGAGGCGCGAAAGCGUGGGGAGCAAACAGGAUUAGAUACCCCAGUAGUC
RNAcentral lists this ribosomal RNA (443 nucleotides) under uncultured bacterium. Its description in RNAcentral is "partial 16S ribosomal RNA". It matches the Rfam family "Bacterial small subunit ribosomal RNA", at positions 338 to 795 of the family's 1533-position model. The record is from RNAcentral.